UUGUAAAUGGCCGCAGUAUUUUGACUGUGCUAAGGUAGCAUAAUCAUUAGUCUCUUGAUUAGAGGCUGGUAUGAAUGGCAAGACGAGAAAAAAACUGUCUCUAAAUAAAAUUUACGAAUUUCAUUUCUUAAUGAAAAAGUUAAGAUGAUUUUGAAGGACGAUCAGACCCUUUGGAGCUUUAUCAAGAGAAUAUUUUGUAUUUAUUUUAAAAAAUGAAAAUAGAAACUUGAUUUUGUUGGGGCGACAAGAAGAAAAAAAUAACACUUCUUUUAUUUACCAUAAAUUAAUGAAUUAUUGAUCCUUAAUGAGAGAUUAAAAGACUAAGUUACCCUAGGGAUAACAGCGUAAUCUUUUUGGAGAGUUCUUAUCGAUAAAAAGGUUUGCGACCUCGAUGUUGGAUUAAGAAAUUAGCAAGGUGCAGAAGUUUUGCUGGAAAGUCUGUUCGACUUUUAAUUUCUUACAUGAUCUGAGUUCAAAC
RNAcentral lists this ribosomal RNA (478 nucleotides) under Simocephalus sibiricus. RNAcentral describes it as "partial large subunit ribosomal RNA". It matches the Rfam family "Bacterial large subunit ribosomal RNA", at positions 1921 to 2616 of the family's 2925-position model. The record is from RNAcentral. Lineage: Eukaryota; Metazoa; Arthropoda; Branchiopoda; Diplostraca; Daphniidae.